CAACUUCAAUCCUCUUGCCAGACCAUGAGGCGGCUAUUGAGGGAACAAUCCAGUCUGUGCUGCUGCAAGCCAGGAUAGUCAAUUGCUGGAACCACAUCUUGAACAAUGUGAAGCAGAAGAUGGGGUCAGAGGAUCCCGAAAGUGUGGCCCGAUUACCAGCAGGCCAUCAAAGAGCUCUUGGCCACGAAAUCAAGGAGUGACUACGAAUGCACACUGGAGUGUGUGCCUCCACUGGAGCCCUGAUUUCGAGGCUUAUUUCCAUCAGUUGCUCUCUUACGCCAUGGACAAGGGUGCACAGUAUGUGCUCAACAGCUUGGGCAUCCAGUCAGAUGAAAUUACAAACAACUGCUCAGAGCUUCAAUGCUGUCCUCAAGGCAUUAGUUGGAUGGAAGGUCAGAGUAGACAGUGGUUUAUCUACUCUACCAACUCUAAACCAAAGCCUUGAGGGAGAAGCUGCGGGGCUACUGUAACCUAGGGAAUUUCUACCUGACCCCAGAGUGCCAUGAGCAAUUUUCCAGGUGAAUGCUCACCACCAGUUUCCCCUACCACAUGUCAGAGGAAGACAUGGUGUAUUUUGCUGAAGGCAUCCAGUCCUGUGUGGCACAAGGAAGAGGUUGUCAUGGCAGAAAUUGGAGUGGCAGCCUUAGCCAGGAUGAUUUUGGCAAAAGGACGUAUCCUCCUGGUGACAAGCACCAAAUGGUUCCUCUACCAUUGCUUCUCAGACGAGCAGCAUGUCGUUACUCUGUUGCCAAUGGAGAUGUGCUCCUGCUCUGCAUUUGACAGUUCCCAGAGGUGUGUCCGCUGACUGGCAGCCGUACUGGCCAUUGGCGGAAGUGUACCGCCCUAUGCCAAUAAAGCUGAGGACAAGGCAUCUGGCUGCAAAACGCUCUGGCCAUAAGUGUGCCACCAAGGAGCAUGUCCAGAUGGGAGCCAAACACCAGGAAGAACAAUCAACCGUUCAUCAACAGGGUCACCUGUCUGACAAACACCCCAGCAGGGAGGACGAAUUGGAGAAUGGAG
Molecule: long non-coding RNA, 1020 nt
Organism: Oncorhynchus tshawytscha (Chinook salmon)
Lineage: Eukaryota; Metazoa; Chordata; Actinopteri; Salmoniformes; Salmonidae
Source: Ensembl